AGAUCAUUUUGGGGACAAUUCCGAAGUAAACCCUUGUAGCGCUCCCAUGCUUCAAACAAUGACUCCCCCAUUUGUUGUUCAAAAUUAGCAACGUCCUUCUUAAGCUU
Molecule: small nucleolar RNA, 107 nt
Organism: Lactuca sativa (garden lettuce)
Lineage: Eukaryota; Viridiplantae; Streptophyta; Magnoliopsida; Asterales; Asteraceae
Source: RefSeq, a predicted model, not a curated record